UGACAGACAUUUUGCCCUGCCCUUCUAUACUGAUGUUGUCCUCAUAAGACUUAAAAAAUCCCAGGUGACAGACUUGAUUUCAGAUCUCUGGGGAGUUUUGACUUUUAUGGCAGCUGUGGUGCUGAUAAAAUCAAGCAAAGGAAGAUUUGUCUUCCCAAAGAUUGUUUUUGGCUUUCAGAUAUCACUGUGUCAGCUGCAAUCCAGCAGGAUCAGCUCCACUACAACAGGACUUUAUCCUUCAGAAGGAAGUGUGGGGUGUGCCGUAACUAUGAAUAACUUACUGAGCAGUGAAAGGUGGAUACAUCAGCUGUUCUGCAGCACAGGCAUCACAAACAGACACUGCAUGAUCAUUAGGGAAAAUGUUAUAAAGAGCAGCACAAGGCUGAUCUUUGAAGAACAGAGAAAACUGAUCAAAAAUCUGCAUCAAGAAAGAGCACAAUGCACAAUGGAAUAGCUUUUCAUGUUCCCAUCAAGAAGAAAAGGAGUGUUAUUCACUCAGAAAAGGAACUAAAACCUUUGCAACAGAAAAGAACACAUUACAUGAAAAAUGAGAUGGACAGUAUAUCAAGAUAAAAGGAACCUGCUGUGCACAUGGGAAUAAAGGAAGCAACUGGUACCA
RNAcentral lists this long non-coding RNA (619 nucleotides) under Crocodylus porosus (Australian saltwater crocodile). Its description in RNAcentral is "lncRNA (ENSCPRG00005017898.1)". Lineage: Eukaryota; Metazoa; Chordata; Crocodylia; Crocodylidae. The record is from RNAcentral.